CAGUUUACCUGCCUGCGUUUCCAGGACGUGGCCACGAGCAAUAUCUUAAUCUGGACCUGCUUUCCUCUCGAGUGAGGUGAUCAACCCGUGGAAAAAUACUACUUGGGGCCAACCACAGCUUCCAAAUUGCCUAGCACUGCCCAGGGGGCAGUGUCUAUGGGAUCCACUUCUCAUCCUCUGAAGGUGUCAAUUUUUAUCAAAGAAUUCACAAGUUUCUGAUUAAAAGGGUGGAGCUCUCCAAAGCUAAUCUUUCUCUCCGUGGAAAAUCAACCUAUUCUGUCUUAUCACUGCCUCCAUUCCCAAGGCUGAUGUAGCCCUGGGAAGUAGUGUAAUGAAAAGAUUAUAGCACAGGAUGAUAUUGGCAAGCAAAUGCAAGAGAUAAAAUUUUGAAUGAACUGUCAAUCAACCAGAAGGAGAGAAGAUUCCAAUAGAAUCUGAUCAGAAGGCAAUUGGAAAAACCCAGCAGCUGAACUGGCUGUCUUCUUCCUGGAUGCCUGGGGGGGGGGGAGGGUAAGAGGCUGAAGGACAGAUUCUACAUUCUACAGAUGAGGAAACUAAGAUAGAUAGAGAUAAAUAACUUGGCUAAUUCACACAGCUAGUAAAUGACAGAGAUGAGAUUUGAAUUCAAUAUCUUUCUGGUUUUAGGACUAUCUACUUCUUAGCUAAAAAAGCAUUACUAUAGUAACUACAACAAUAAAACAUAUUGUAUAUAUUAUAUAACA
This 722-nucleotide long non-coding RNA is filed under the name Monodelphis domestica (gray short-tailed opossum). RNAcentral describes it as "lncRNA (ENSMODG00000041752.1)". Lineage: Eukaryota; Metazoa; Chordata; Mammalia; Didelphimorphia; Didelphidae. The record is from RNAcentral.